Molecule: ribosomal RNA, 497 nt
Filed under: uncultured bacterium
Lineage: Bacteria
Description: partial 16S ribosomal RNA
Rfam family: Bacterial small subunit ribosomal RNA
Source: RNAcentral
GAUGAACGCUGGCGGCGUGCCUAAUACAUGCAAGUCGAGCGAACAGACGAGGAUCUUGCUCCUCUGACGUUAGCGGCGGACGGGUGAGUAACACGUGGAUAACCUACCUCUAAGACUGGGAUAACUUCGGGAAACCGGAGCUAAUACCGGAUAAUAUAUUGAACCGCAUGGUUCAAUAGUGAAAGACGGUUUUGCUGUCACUUAUAGAUGGAUCCGCGCCGCAUUAGCUAGUUGGUAAGGUAACGGCUCACCAAGGCAACGAUGCGUAGCCGACCUGAGAGGGGGAUCGGCCACACGGGAACUGAGACACGGUCCAGACUCCUACGGGAGGCAGCAGUAGGGAAUCUUCCGCAAUGGGCGAAAGCCUGACGGAGCAACGCCGCGUGAGUGAUGAAGGUCUUCGGAUCGGAAAACUCUGUUAUUAGGGAAGAACAAAUGUGUAAGUAACUAUGCACGUCUUGACGGUACCUAAUCAGAAAGCCACGGCUAACUACGUG